This 379-nucleotide ribosomal RNA is filed under the name Clostridioides difficile. RNAcentral describes it as "bacterial LSU rRNA". It matches the Rfam family "Bacterial large subunit ribosomal RNA", at positions 1 to 380 of the family's 2925-position model. Lineage: Bacteria; Bacillati; Bacillota; Clostridia; Peptostreptococcales; Peptostreptococcaceae. The record is from RNAcentral.
UGGUCAAGUUAUUAAGGGUGCAGGGCGGAUGCCUUGGCACUAGGAGCCGUUGAAGGACGUGAUAAGCUGCGAUAAGCUUCGGGGAGUUGCACGUAAACUUUGAUCCGAAGAUUUCCGAAUGAGGAAACUCACUUAGAGUAAUGUCUAAGUAUCAUUAAGUGAAUACAUAGCUUAAUGAGGGGAACUCAGGGAACUGAAACAUCUAAGUACCUGAAGGAAGAGAAAGAAAUUCGAUUCCGUAAGUAGCGGCGGGCGAACGCGGAUUAGCCCAAACCAAUAAAGUUUUCUUUAUUGGGGUUGCGGACAUAUCAUAACGAAGAGGUAUCGUAAUUGAAGAGGUUUGGAAAGACCCACCACAGAAGGUAAUAGUCCUGUAUGU